This 108-nucleotide ribosomal RNA is filed under the name uncultured bacterium. RNAcentral describes it as "partial 16S ribosomal RNA". The record is from RNAcentral.
CCUUCGGGUUGUAAACCACUUUUGUCAGGGAAGAAACGGCUCGUUACUAAAUAUUUAGGAGCUAAAUAGACGGUACCUGAAGAAUAAAGCACCCGGCUAACUACGUGC